Molecule: long non-coding RNA, 494 nt
Organism: Aedes aegypti (yellow fever mosquito)
Lineage: Eukaryota; Metazoa; Arthropoda; Insecta; Diptera; Culicidae
Exons: 3
Source: RefSeq, a predicted model, not a curated record
UCAACAGAAGAACAGAUACAGAUGGAUUAAGUGCAAUAUAUGCAGGCAUUCUACAUGCAAUCAAGAAUAGAACAAACACUAACAGACAAAAUAUACCACCAACACAAUCACAAAAUGUGCAAACACAAUAAACACACACAACAUCAAGCAAGAACAUACACAUACUAGUCUCAUUUCCAUCAGUUAGGAAAGGCAAAAGCAACUGUGCGCGGGCGAUUAUCGCGUAGAGCUUUUAUCGAAAAGCGUAGGUGCAGGCGAAAGCUAGUUUAAAAAUCCCUGUGAAACAUUUCGUAAUACAGUGAGGGCCGCGAAGAAUGAUACGCACAGAUCAUAGUGGGACGCCAUUAGAAAUUUUAGACGGUCACAAGUCGGACAAGACACCAAUACACACAACAAAACGCAGCCUCUAAACCCUUGAAGAAGGCGAAAUAUACGCCGAAACGUCGGAGAAGUAGAAGCAAAAGUCGUUUUAGCUGCCUUAAGACUGAUAGAGC